GCUGGGUGUGGUGGCAUAUGCCUGUAGGCACAGCUACUUGGGAGGCUGAGGUGGGAGGAUCACUUGAGCCCAGGAGUUCGGGGCUGUAGUGCACUAUGCCGAUUGGAUGUCUGCACUAAGUUUGGCAUCAAUAUGGUGACCUCCUAGGAGCGGGGGGCCACCAGGUUGCCUAAGAAGGGGUGAACCGGCCCAGGCCGGAAACAGAGCAGGUCAAAACUCCCGUGCUGAUCAGUAGUGGGAUCGCGCCUGUGAAUAGCCACUGCACUACAGCCUGGGCAACAUAGCGAGACCCUGUCUCU
Molecule: signal recognition particle RNA, 299 nt
Filed under: Saimiri boliviensis boliviensis (Bolivian squirrel monkey)
Lineage: Eukaryota; Metazoa; Chordata; Mammalia; Primates; Cebidae
Description: Metazoan signal recognition particle RNA (ENSSBOG00000000230.1)
Rfam family: Metazoan signal recognition particle RNA
About the family: The signal recognition particle (SRP) is a universally conserved ribonucleoprotein.
Source: RNAcentral